ACGCACGCUGGCGGCGUGCUUCACCCAUGCCAGUCGAACGGAAAGGCCCUGCUUUUGUGGGGUGCUCGAGUGGCGAACGGGUGAUUAACACGUGAGUAACCUGCCCUUGACUUUGGGAUAACUUCAGGAAACUGGGGCUAAUACCGGAUAGGAGCUCCUGCUGCAUGGUGGGGGUUGGAAAGUUUCGGCGGUUGGGGAUGGACUGGCGGCUUAUCAGCUUGUUGGUGGGGUAGUGGCUUACCAAGGCUUUGACGGGUAGCCGGCCUGAGAGGGUGACCGGCCACAUGGGGACUGAGAUACGGCCCAGACUCCUACGGGAGGCAGCAGUGGGGAAUAUUGCACAAUGGGCGGAAGCCUGAUGCAGCAACGCCGCGUGCGGGAUGACGGCCUUCGGGUUGUAAACCGCUUUCGCCUGUGACGAAGCGUGAGUGACGGUAAUGGGUAAAGAAGCACCGGCUAACUACGUG
RNAcentral lists this ribosomal RNA (467 nucleotides) under uncultured bacterium. RNAcentral describes it as "partial 16S ribosomal RNA". It matches the Rfam family "Bacterial small subunit ribosomal RNA", at positions 29 to 507 of the family's 1533-position model. The record is from RNAcentral.